CCUACGGGUGGCUGCAGUGAGGAAUAUUGGUCAAUGGGCGUAAGCCUGAACCAGCCAAGUCGCGUGAGGGAUGAAGGUUCUAUGGAUCGUAAACCUCUUUUAUAAGGGAAUAAAGUGCGGGGCGUGUCCCGUUUUGUAUGUACCUUAUGAAUAAGGAUCGGCUAACUCCGUGCCAGCAGCCGCGGUAAUACGGAGGAUCCGAGCGUUAUCCGGAUUUAUUGGGUUUAAAGGGUGCGUAGGCGGCCUUUUAAGUCAGCGGUGAAAGUCUGUGGCUCAACCAUAGAAGUGCCGUUGAACCUGGGAGGUGGGGGUAUGUUUGGGGCAGGCGGAAGGCGUGGGGUAGCGGUGAA
This 350-nucleotide ribosomal RNA is filed under the name uncultured bacterium. RNAcentral's name for it is "partial 16S ribosomal RNA". It matches the Rfam family "Bacterial small subunit ribosomal RNA", at positions 338 to 685 of the family's 1533-position model. The record is from RNAcentral.